AAAGGCUAGAGCGUGACAGGUAAGCGAAAUCUAAGGAAAGUAGCGAAGCACAUGAUGACGGCUUCCAGGAAAAGCUUCUGGCAAUGCAUAUGCGGCCCGUACCAAAACCGACACAGGUGGGCAGGGAGAGAAUCCCGAGGUGAGCGAGAGAACUGUUGCCAAGGAACUCGGCAAAAUGACUCCGUAAGUUAGCGAGAAGGAGUGCUUAAGCAAUUAAGCCGCAGUGAAGAGGCCCAAGCGACUGUUUAACUAAAACACAGCUCUCUGCGAAGUCGCAAGACGAAGUAUAGGGGGUGACACCUGCCCGGUGCUGGAAGGUUAAGAGGAUCUGUUAAGAGCGAUCUGAAGCAGUGAUCCGAAGCCCCAGUGAACGGCGGCCGUAACGAUAACGGUCCUAAGGUAGCGAAAUUCCUUGUCAGGUAAGGUCUGACCCGCACGAAAGGUGUAACGAUUUGGGCGCUGUCUCGGCAGCAGACUCGGUGAAAUCUUAGUACCUGUGAAAAUGCAGGUUACCCGCAACUAGACGGAAAGACCCCAUGGAGCUUUACUGCAGCCUGAUAUUGAAUUCUGGUCAUACAUGUACAGGAUAGGUGGGAGACAAAGAGACGUGCACGCCAGUGUACGAGGAGUCGACGUUGGGAUACCACUCUUGUGUGACCGGGGUUCUAACCUGGUAUCGAGAACAGGUACGGGGAGAGUGUCAGGUGGGCAGUUUGACUGGGGCGGUCGCCUCCCAAAGAGUAACGGAGGCGCCCAAAGGUACGCUCAGAUUGGAUGGAAACCAAUCGACGAGUGCAAUUGCAGAAGCGUGCUUGACUGUGAGACAAACAAGUCGAACAGGGACGAAAGUCGGGAAUAGUGAUCCGGCGGUGCCGAAUGGAAGGGCCGUCGCUCAACGGAUAAAAGCUACCCUGGGGAUAACAGGCUGGUCUCGCCCAAGAGUUCACAUCGACGGCGAGGUUUGGCACCUCGAUGUCGGCUCAUCGCAUCCUGGAGCUGGAUUCGGUUCCAAGGGUUGGGCUGUCCGCCCAUUAAAGCGGUACGCGAGCUGGGUUCAGAACGUCGUGAGACAGUUCGGUCCCUAUCUGUUGUGGGCGAAGGAGAUCUGCGGAGAGCUGUCCUCAGUACGAGAGGACCGGGAUGGACCUACCGCUGGUGCACCGGUUGUUCCGCCAGGGGCAUAGCCGGGUAGCUAAGUAGGGAAAGGAUAAGCGCUGAAAGCAUCUAAGCACGAAGCCUACUCCAAGAUGAGAUCUCCCAUUCGCAAGAAGUAAGACCCCUUAAAGACGAUAAGGUAGAUAGGCCAGGGAUGGAAGUGCAGUGAUGUACGGAGUUGACUGGUACUAAUCGGUCGAGGACUUAAUC
RNAcentral lists this ribosomal RNA (1365 nucleotides) under metagenome. RNAcentral's name for it is "bacterial LSU rRNA". It matches the Rfam family "Bacterial large subunit ribosomal RNA", at positions 1538 to 2925 of the family's 2925-position model. The record is from RNAcentral.